GCCAGUUUGGCUCAGUGGAUAGAGCAUCAGCCUAUGAACUGAAGCGUCACAGGUUUGAUUCCUGUCAAGGGUU
This 73-nucleotide transfer RNA is filed under the name Myotis davidii. It matches the Rfam family "tRNA". From Rfam's summary of the family: Transfer RNA (tRNA) molecules are approximately 80 nucleotides in length. Their secondary structure includes four short double-helical elements and three loops (D, anti-codon, and T loops). Lineage: Eukaryota; Metazoa; Chordata; Mammalia; Chiroptera; Vespertilionidae. The record is from Rfam by way of RNAcentral.